CCGAGUUUACAACUCCCAAACCCAAUGUGAACGUUACCAAACUGUUGCCUCGGCGGGAUCUCUGCCCCGGGUGCGUCGCAGCCCCGGACCAAGGCGCCCGCCGGAGGACCAACCAAAACUCUUAUCGUAUACCCCCUCGCGGGUUUUUUUUAUAAUCUGAGCCUUCUCGGCGCCUCUCGUAGGCGUUUCGAAAAUGAAUCA
RNAcentral lists this unclassified non-coding RNA (201 nucleotides) under soil metagenome. Its description in RNAcentral is "partial internal transcribed spacer 1". The record is from RNAcentral.